AUGGCGGGAUGGCGUCACGGAAGUAGAACUGUUCAAGUUCAAAGUUCAAAGUUGAAAUGCACCUCUGCACCUGUAGCAUACAGGAUUAAUGGAGGUGAAAGUAUGUUUUGUUUGUUUGUGAGUAGUUAUAAAGUUUGAUAUCUGCAGAGGCAUAUUCUCCCAAAAAAAUGAAUCUAUAAUCAAACUACUAAAUUUAUAUUUACGUGUUGUGUCGUCGAUUACACUGAACAAUGUUAAGAGCAGAAGCAGCGCCAUUACAGUGUCUGGAUACAUAUAAGUGGAUUUUUUAAUUAUUGAGAACAUGUAAAACCUCAUCAGAUUUUGAAACAGCCUUUGAAUUUAGAAAAAAGACAUUGGCGAAUAUUAUUCCAAAUCUUGAUCUAAUGUGUAAAUGGAGUAAUGUACUCCCUAAAGUAUUGUUAAUAUUAAAUGUUUUUUGUGUU
Diabrotica virgifera virgifera (western corn rootworm) is the source of this 443-nucleotide long non-coding RNA. RefSeq lists it as uncharacterized. Lineage: Eukaryota; Metazoa; Arthropoda; Insecta; Coleoptera; Chrysomelidae. The record is from RefSeq and is a predicted model, not a curated record. The transcript is spliced from 2 exons.